UACGGAGGAUGCGAGCGUUAUCCGGAUUUAUUGGGUUUAAAGGGUGCGUAGGCUGCUUUUUAAGUCAGCGGUGAAAUUUUGCAGCUUAACUGUAACAGUGCCGUUGAUACUGGGGAGCUAGGAUUUGGUUGCUGUGGGUGGAAUGUGUGGUGUGGCGGUGAAAUGCUUAGAUAUCACGAGGAACUCCGAUUGCGCAGGCAGCUUACUAAACUACUACUGACGCUCAGGCACGAAGGCGUGGGGAUCAAACAGGAUUAGAUACCCCU
Molecule: ribosomal RNA, 266 nt
Filed under: uncultured prokaryote
Description: partial 16S ribosomal RNA
Rfam family: Bacterial small subunit ribosomal RNA
Source: RNAcentral